This 89-nucleotide transfer RNA is filed under the name Felis catus (domestic cat). It matches the Rfam family "tRNA". Rfam says of the family: Transfer RNA (tRNA) molecules are approximately 80 nucleotides in length. Their secondary structure includes four short double-helical elements and three loops (D, anti-codon, and T loops). The record is from Rfam by way of RNAcentral. RNAcentral also lists the same sequence under 2 other names. Lineage: Eukaryota; Metazoa; Chordata; Mammalia; Carnivora; Felidae.
GCCUGGGUGGCUCAGUCGGUUGAGCAUCUGACUCGAUUUUGGCUCAGGUCAUGAUCCCAGGGUCAUGGGUUCGAGCCUCAUGUCAGGCU